RNAcentral lists this ribosomal RNA (647 nucleotides) under uncultured Suillus. RNAcentral describes it as "eukaryotic LSU rRNA". The stretch from base 213 to 367 matches the Rfam family "5.8S ribosomal RNA". The record is from RNAcentral. Lineage: Eukaryota; Fungi; Basidiomycota; Agaricomycetes; Boletales; Suillaceae.
AUCAUUAAUGAAAUUAUAAUCCGGCGAGGGAAAGGCGGAGAGUUGUAGCUGGCCCCAGGGCAUGUGCACGCUCUCUUCCGGACUUUCGCCGUAUGGGCGCGGGGCGACCCGCGUCUUCAUAUACCUCUUCGUGUAGAAAGUCUUUGAAUGUUAUUACCAUCAUCGAGUCGCGACUUCUAGGAGACGCGAUUCUUUGAGACAAAAGUUAUUACAACUUUCAGCAACGGAUCUCUUGGCUCUCGCAUCGAUGAAGAACGCAGCGAAUCGCGAUAUGUAAUGUGAAUUGCAGAUCUACAGUGAAUCAUCGAAUCUUUGAACGCACCUUGCGCUCCUCGGUGUUCCGAGGAGCAUGCCUGUUUGAGUGUCAGUAAAUUCUCAACCCCUCUCGAUUUGCUUCGACAGGGUGCUUGGAUGUUGGGGGCUGCCGGAGACACUGGACUCGUCCAGGACUCGGGCUCCUCUUAAAUGAAUCGGCUUGCGGUCGACUUUCGACUUUGCAUGACAAGGCCUUUGGCGUGAUAAUGAUCGCCGUUCGCCGAAGUGCAAGACAGAACGGUCCCGUGCCUCUAAUGCGUCGACGCCUCUCGGGGCCGUCUUCCUCAUUGACGUUUGACCUCAAAUCAGGUAGGACUACCCGCUGAACUUAA